CACGCCGUAAACGAUGAAUACUAGGUGUCGGGGAGCAAAGCUCUUCGGUGCCGCCGCAAACGCAAUAAGUAUUCCACCUGGGGAGUACGUUCGCAAGAAUGAAACUCAAAGGAAUUGACG
This 120-nucleotide ribosomal RNA is filed under the name uncultured bacterium. RNAcentral's name for it is "partial 16S ribosomal RNA". It matches the Rfam family "Bacterial small subunit ribosomal RNA", at positions 796 to 915 of the family's 1533-position model. The record is from RNAcentral.